This 1187-nucleotide long non-coding RNA is filed under the name Nicotiana benthamiana. Its description in RNAcentral is "long non-coding RNA (NBEN_LNC035792)". The record is from RNAcentral. Lineage: Eukaryota; Viridiplantae; Streptophyta; Magnoliopsida; Solanales; Solanaceae.
CUCAAACAAAUACAAGUAAUUAGGAAAUUAGAUCAAAUAAUAUAACCUGCAACCACCAUUCUCUUGGCUUUUUUCUCAGUAACCACUAGCCAAAUUAUAAUUUCCAAAAUAUCCAAAUCUCAAUAUCACAACUUCAUAGUUUAGAAGCUGUUGAGUUGUCCCACAUCGGAGGGAUUUGAGGUCCUUGGUCUCCUUAUAUGGCUUGAGCAAUCCUCUCACCUUAUAAGCUAGUUGUUGGGGUUGAAUUAGACCCAAGGUCCAUUCUUAUCAUGGUAUCAGAGCCAGGCCCAUCUCAAUUAUUGUUACUGAUAUUGGGCCCCUAUUUAUGUUGUCCAUGCUCCAGAGAUGAAUUUGAGGUCCUUGGUCUCCUUGUAUGACUUGGGCAAUCCUCACCUCAUAAGCUAGCUUUUGAAGUUGAGUUAGGCCCAAGGUCCAUUCUUAUCAUGGUAUCAGAGCCAGGUCCAUCCCAAUUAUUGUUACCGAUGCUGGGCCCCCAUUUAUACUGAAUUUUUACAUAAAAAAGACAAUCCGAUGCACGGUAUUCAUGAAGUAUUAGGUUAAAGGUCACAGCCCAAGGAAUAUAAUGUAAGCAGCUUAACGAACCUCUCACCUACAAAUAAUUUUUAUAUGCAACCUGAAAUUUAUUAAGUAAAAAGCACAGCACCAAUCAAGGCGAAGGCUAUAACACAAAUCCUACUUUCUAUUUCCAGCAGCGCCCAAUUUUCCCUUAACUAUUCUGAUCCCAAAUUUUAUAAUUGAAAUUAUCCGUAAUUAAUUUAUACAACAACUCCGCCUUAAUCCAGAAGAUUUAUCUCUCCAUUUAAGCUGUGAUAAUUAAGUUGUACCCCGUUCAAGAAUUUCCACAUCUGCCAAGUUUGAUUUAUUUGGCAACAGCCAAAAGGAAAAAAAAUAAAAAGAAGAGAAAGGGAAAGAAUUUGAAGUCGAAAUUACUAGUAGCAGAGAACAAAAUAGGAAGAUAAAAAAAGGAAAAUCAAAGCCACAAAGCUCCAGCUUGUUUCAAUACAGGAGUCAACUCGCCAGUAAUAUGAGCAGCCAUAAUCCGAUCCAACCCUCCAAACAAUUCUCCUCCGACAAACACUGCCGGCAACUGCAAACGACCACCCUUUUUCCUAUCAUCACCGCCGUCAACAGCGGCGACAAUAUUCUCCAGCUCAUCAAUAACCUCA